RNAcentral lists this ribosomal RNA (253 nucleotides) under uncultured bacterium. RNAcentral's name for it is "partial 16S ribosomal RNA". It matches the Rfam family "Bacterial small subunit ribosomal RNA", at positions 524 to 776 of the family's 1533-position model. The record is from RNAcentral.
UACGAAGGGGGCUAGCGUUGUUCGGAUUUACUGGGCGUAAAGCGCACGUAGGCGGAUCGUUAAGUCGGGGGUGAAAUCCUGGAGCUCAACUCCAGAACUGCCUUCGAUACUGGCGAUCUUGAGUCCGGAAGAGGUGAGUGGAACUCCUAGUGUAGAGGUGAAAUUCGUAGAUAUUCGCAAGAACACCAGUGGCGAAGGCGGCUCACUGGCCCGGUACUGACGCUGAGGUGCGAAAGCGUGGGGAGCAAACAGG